RNAcentral lists this ribosomal RNA (492 nucleotides) under uncultured bacterium. RNAcentral's name for it is "partial 16S ribosomal RNA". It matches the Rfam family "Bacterial small subunit ribosomal RNA", at positions 29 to 507 of the family's 1533-position model. The record is from RNAcentral.
AGUGAACGCUGGCGGUAGGCCUAACACAUGCAAGUCGAACGGCAGCACAGUAAGAGCUUGCUCUUACGGGUGGCGAGUGGCGGACGGGUGAGGAAUACAUCGGAAUCUACUUUUUCGUGGGGGAUAACGCAGGGAAACUUACGCUAAUACCGCAUACGACCUACGGGUGAAAGCAGGGGAUCUUCGGACCUUGCGCGAUUGAAUGAGCCGAUGUCGGAUUAGCUAGUUGGCGGGGUAAAGGCCCACCAAGGCGACGAUCCGUAGCUGGUCUAAGAGGAUGAUCAGCCACACUGGAACUGAGACACGGUCCAGACUCCUACGGGAGGCAGCAGUGGGGAAUAUUGGACAAUGGGCGCAAGCCUGAUCCAGCCAUACCGCGUGGGUGAAGAAGGCCUUCGGGUUGUAAAGCCCUUUUGUUGGGAAAGAAAAGCAGCAGGUUAAUACCCCGCUGUUCUGACGGUACCCAAAGAAUAAGCACCGGCUAACUUCGUG